AUGCACGCUAGCUACCGGCUUAACCCGUGCAAGUCGCGGGGCAGCAUGGGGGUUGCUUGCACUCCCCGAUGGCGACCGGCGCACGGGUGAGUAACGCGUAUCCAACCUGCCCUUCACCACGGGAUAACCCGGCGAAAGUCGGACUAAUACCGUAUGUUGUCCAUUGACGGCAUCCGAUUUGGACGAAAGGCUUGGCGGUGAGGGAUGGGGAUGCGUCCGAUUAGCCAGACGGCGGGGUAACGGCCCACCGUGGCUACGAUCGGUAGGGGUUCUGAGAGGAAGGUCCCCCACACUGGAACUGAGACACGGUCCAGACUCCUACGGGAGGCAGCAGUGAGGAAUAGUGGUCAAUGGGCGUAAGCCUGAACCAGCCAAGUAGCGUGCAGGAUGACGGCCCUAUGGGUUGUAAACUGCUUUUAUGCGGGGAUAAAGUGGCCCACGGGUGGGCUUUUGCAGGUACCGCAUGAAUAAGGACCGGCUAAUUCCGUG
This 489-nucleotide ribosomal RNA is filed under the name uncultured bacterium. Its description in RNAcentral is "partial 16S ribosomal RNA". It matches the Rfam family "Bacterial small subunit ribosomal RNA", at positions 29 to 507 of the family's 1533-position model. The record is from RNAcentral.